This 386-nucleotide long non-coding RNA is filed under the name Homo sapiens (human). RNAcentral describes it as "HSALNT0099151". Lineage: Eukaryota; Metazoa; Chordata; Mammalia; Primates; Hominidae. The record is from RNAcentral.
GCCAAAAUGAAUCAUGCAGUCUAGGCUCAGUAGGAUAGUAAGGCUGUUAAAUGUCUGAUAAAUUGGGAAGGAAAAAAUAUGGAGUCAGUGAAACAGUGGGCUCCCUAAAGCUGAAGGGCAGGUGUAAUUGGAGUGUGCUUAAGUGUAUUGGAAGGCUAAGAGCUAAGGUCAUAGUGCAAUGGGAGUUGAUUUCAGAUGUGUAGCCAAUCUGAAGAUGAGAUCCAGGGUACAGCCACAGAAGUAGAGGAACAAGUUUAAACAGUCUGACUUGUGAUACAGCAGUGAACAGCUGAACCUAAUAGGGAAGACAUUCAAUAAACAGGUGAGCUGUAUGUUUUUCCUCAAUGUUUUUGUAACCCACACUUCUACUUUUCAUAUACCUGAAA